AUGCUCCUUUUAGCAGCAUAUAUACUAAAAUUGGAAUGAUACAGAGAAGAUUAGCUUGGCCUCUGUGCAAGGAUGACAUGCAAGUUCAUGAAGCAUUUCACAUUUAA
Small nuclear RNA from Aotus nancymaae (Ma's night monkey), 107 nucleotides. The record is from Ensembl. Lineage: Eukaryota; Metazoa; Chordata; Mammalia; Primates; Aotidae.